Molecule: non-coding RNA, 240 nt
Organism: Pelobates cultripes (western spadefoot toad)
Lineage: Eukaryota; Metazoa; Chordata; Amphibia; Anura; Pelobatidae
Source: the annotation of a GenBank genome assembly
CAGCGACCUGGGGAAUCACGUGAUCUGUGAAGUAGUCACCUGAUCAUGUGAUUGCCCUCACUGCAGGAUUGCUUUCAUUAGAACGAAUACAUUGUAAUCCUAGUAAUAUCACCACGUGUACUGACUACAGGGGCUUGGGAUUAAUGGCAAUAGCCAAACAAUGUAAAACAACCACAGAUUGCUAUAGUGUCAACUCUUAACAUGGACACUUGUUUUACAAUCUAGGGUCGUAGAGUGACU